This 592-nucleotide ribosomal RNA is filed under the name uncultured bacterium. RNAcentral describes it as "bacterial SSU rRNA". It matches the Rfam family "Bacterial small subunit ribosomal RNA", at positions 44 to 679 of the family's 1533-position model. The record is from RNAcentral.
AGGCUUAACACAUGCAAGUCGAGCGCACGUAGCAAUACGUGAGCGGCAGACGGGAGAGUAACACGUGGGAACGUACCUUUCGGUUCGGAAUAACUCAGGGAAACUUGAGCUAAUACCGAAUACGUCCGCAAGGAGAAAGAUUUAUCGCCGAAAGAUCGGCCCGCGUCCGAUUAGCUAGUUGGUGGGGUAAUGGCCCACCAAGGCGACGAUCGGUAGCUGGUCUGAGAGGAUGAUCAGCCUCACUGGGACUGAGACACGGCCCAGACUCCUACGGGAGGCAGCAGUGGGGAAUAUUGGACAAUGGGCGCAAGCCUGAUCCAGCCAUGCCGCGUGGGUGAUGAAGGCCUUAGGGUUGUAAAGCCCUUUCGGCGGGGAAGAUAAUGACGGUACCCCGCAGAAGAAGCCCCGGCUAACUUCGUGCCAGCAGCCGCGGUAAUACGAAGGGGGCUAGCGUUGCUCGGAAUCACUGGGCGUAAAGCGCACGUAGGCGGGUCUUUAAGUCAGGGGUGAAAUCCUGGAGCUCAACCUCCCGAACUGCCUUUGAUACUGGAGACCUAAAGUCGGGAGAGGUGAGUGGAACUGCGAGUGUAGA